RNAcentral lists this ribosomal RNA (353 nucleotides) under uncultured bacterium. Its description in RNAcentral is "bacterial SSU rRNA". It matches the Rfam family "Bacterial small subunit ribosomal RNA", at positions 8 to 352 of the family's 1533-position model. The record is from RNAcentral.
AGAGUUUGAUCAUGGCUCAGGAUGAACGCUAGCUACAGGCUUAACACAUGCAAGUCGAGGGGCAGCAUGUUGGUUGCUUGCAACCAACGAUGGCGACCGGCGCACGGGUGAGUAACGCGUAUCCAACCUACCCUUGUCCAUCGGAUAACCCGUCGAAAGGCGGGCCUAACACGAUAUGCGGUUCACGGCAGGCAUCUAAGGUGAACGAAAUGUGAAGGAGAAGGAUGGGGAUGCGUCUGAUUAGCUUGUUGGCGGGGUAACGGCCACCAAGGCUACGAUCAGUAGGGGUUCUGAGAGGAAGGUCCCCCACAUUGGAACUGAGACACGGUCCGAACUACCUACCGGGAGGGCGA